This 328-nucleotide ribosomal RNA is filed under the name uncultured eukaryote. Its description in RNAcentral is "partial 18S ribosomal RNA". It matches the Rfam family "Eukaryotic small subunit ribosomal RNA", at positions 1470 to 1796 of the family's 1831-position model. The record is from RNAcentral.
CCCUUAGAUGUUCUGGGCCGCACGCGCGCUACACUGAUGCGUUCAACGAGUAUACAACCUUGAUCGAUAGGUCUGGGUAAUCUUGUGAAUGCGCAUCGUGCUAGGGAUAGAUUGUUGCAAUUUUCAAUCUUGAACGAGGAAUUCCUAGUAAACGCAAGUCAUCAGCUUGCGUCGAUUACGUCCCUGCCCUUUGUACACACCGCCCGUCGCUCCUACCGAUUGGGUGUGCUGGUGAAAUGUUCGGAUCGGCCGUUUGUCGCGGUUUCCGCGUCAUGUGGCUGAGAAGUUCAUUAAACCCUCCCACCUAGAGGAAGGAGAAGUCGUAACA